GGGCCCGCACAAGCGGUGGAGCAUGUGGUUUAAUUCGAUGAUACGCGAGGAACCUUACCUAGGCUUAAAUGUAGAUUGACGUAUUGGGAAACCAGUAUUUCUUCGGACAAUCUACAAGGUGCUGCAUGGUUGUCGUCAGCUCGUGCCGUGAGGUGUCGGGUUAAGUCCCAUAACGAGCGCAACCCCUAUCAUUAGUUGCCAGCGAGUAAUGUCGGGAACUCUAACGAAACUGCCAGUGCAAACUGUGAGGAAGGUGGGGAUGACGUCAAAUCAUCACGGCCCUUACGUCCUGGGCUACACACGUGCUACAAUGGCCGGUACAGAGAGCAGCCACUUCGCAAGAAGGAGCG
RNAcentral lists this ribosomal RNA (350 nucleotides) under uncultured bacterium. RNAcentral's name for it is "bacterial SSU rRNA". It matches the Rfam family "Bacterial small subunit ribosomal RNA", at positions 917 to 1269 of the family's 1533-position model. The record is from RNAcentral.